Molecule: ribosomal RNA, 224 nt
Filed under: uncultured Pseudomonas sp.
Lineage: Bacteria; Pseudomonadati; Pseudomonadota; Gammaproteobacteria; Pseudomonadales; Pseudomonadaceae
Description: partial 16S ribosomal RNA
Rfam family: Bacterial small subunit ribosomal RNA
Source: RNAcentral
AAACCGGAGGAAGGUGGGGAUGACGUCAAGUCAUCAUGGCCCUUACGGCCUGGGCUACACACGUGCUACAAUGGUCGGUACAAAGGGUUGCCAAGCCGCGAGGUGGAGCUAAUCCCAUAAAACCGAUCGUAGUCCGGAUCGCAGUCUGCAACUCGACUCGCGUGAAGUCGGAAUCGCUAGUAAUCGUGAAUCAGAAUGUCACGGUGAAUACGUUCCCGGGCCUU